CACGCCAUAAACGAUGAAUGCUAGGUAUUGGGGUUACUCAGUGCCGACGUAAACACAAUAAGCAUUCCGCCUGGGGAGUACGUGCGCAAGCAUGAAACUCAAAGGAAUUGACGGGGACCCGCACAAGCAGCGGAGCAUGUGGUUUAAUUCGAUGCAACGCGAAGAACCUUACCAGGGCUUGACAUAUAUGCGCUAGCACUAGAGAUAGUGGGUUCUCUUCGGAGACGUAUAUACAGGUGG
Molecule: ribosomal RNA, 240 nt
Filed under: uncultured Eubacteriales bacterium
Lineage: Bacteria; Bacillati; Bacillota; Clostridia; Eubacteriales
Description: uncultured Clostridiales bacterium partial 16S ribosomal RNA
Rfam family: Bacterial small subunit ribosomal RNA
Source: RNAcentral